ACUACGGGAGGUAGCAGUGAGGAAUAUUGGUCAAUGGGCGCGAGCCUGAACCAGCCAAGUAGCGUGAAGGAUGACUGCCCUCCGGGUUGUAAACUUCUUUUAUAAAGGAAUAAAGUGAGGCACGUGUGCCUUUUUGUAUGUCCUUUAUGAAUAAGGAUCGGCUAACUCCGUGCCAGCAGCCGCGGUAAUCCGGAGGAUCCGAGCGUUAUCCGUAUUUAUUGGGUUUAAAGGGAGCGUAGAUGGGUUGGUAAGUAAGUUGUGAAAGUUUGCGGAUCAACCGUAAAAUUGCAAUUGAUACUGGCAGUCUUGAGUACAGUUGAGGUAGGCGGAAUUCGUGGUGUAGCGGUGAAAUGCUUAGAUAUCACGAAGAACUCCGAUUGCGAAGGCAGCUUACUAAACUGCCACUGACAUUGAUGCUCGAAAGUGUGGGUAUCAAACAGGAUUAGAUACCCUAGUAGUC
RNAcentral lists this ribosomal RNA (460 nucleotides) under uncultured bacterium. RNAcentral describes it as "partial 16S ribosomal RNA". It matches the Rfam family "Bacterial small subunit ribosomal RNA", at positions 338 to 795 of the family's 1533-position model. The record is from RNAcentral.